UACGUAGGGCGCAAGCGUUGUCCGGAAUUAUUGGGCGUAAAGAGCUCGUAGGCGGCUUGUCGCGUCGUGUGUGAAAUCUCAGGGCUCAACUCUGACAUUGCAUACGAUACGGGCAGGCUUGAGUUGCGGUAGGGGAGACUUGGAAUUCCGUGGUGUAGCGGUGAAAAUGCGCAGAUAUCAGGAGGAACACCGAUGGCGAAGGCAGAUCUCUGGGCCGUAACUGACGCUGAGGAGCGAAAGCAUGGGGAGCGAACAGG
RNAcentral lists this ribosomal RNA (257 nucleotides) under uncultured bacterium. Its description in RNAcentral is "partial 16S ribosomal RNA". It matches the Rfam family "Bacterial small subunit ribosomal RNA", at positions 524 to 776 of the family's 1533-position model. The record is from RNAcentral.